AGCUCCAAUAGCGUAUAUUAAAGUUGUUGCGGUUAAAAGCUCGUAGUUGGAUUUCUGUUGAGGGCAAUCGGUCCGGACUUUGGUCUGUGCAUCUGAUUUGACCUCGGCAUCCUCUCAAAGCCGUAUUGCGCUUCGUUGUCGUGAUGCGAACUUUGGGACUUUUACUUUGAGGAAAUUAGAGUGUUCACGGCAGGCAUGCGCCUUGAAUAUAUUAGCAUGGAAUAAUAAUAUAGGAUCUUGGUUCUAUUUUGUUGGUUUCUAGAGCUAGGAUAAUGAUUAAUAGGGACAAUUGGGGGCAUUCGUAUUAACGCGUCAGAGGUGGAAUUCUUGGAUUGCGUUACGACGAACUACUGCGAAAGCAUUUGCCAAGGAUGUUUUCA
Molecule: ribosomal RNA, 380 nt
Filed under: uncultured eukaryote
Lineage: Eukaryota
Description: SSU rRNA
Rfam family: Eukaryotic small subunit ribosomal RNA
Source: RNAcentral